This 440-nucleotide ribosomal RNA is filed under the name uncultured bacterium. RNAcentral's name for it is "bacterial SSU rRNA". It matches the Rfam family "Bacterial small subunit ribosomal RNA", at positions 338 to 795 of the family's 1533-position model. The record is from RNAcentral.
CCUACGGGGGGCUGCAGUGGGGAAUAUUGCACAAUGGGGGAAACCCUGAUGCAGCAACGCCGCGUGAGCGAAGAAGGCCUUCGGGUCGUAAAGCUCUGUCCUAAGGGAAGAAAAUUGACGGUACCUUAGGAGGAAGCCCCGGCUAACUACGUGCCAGCAGCCGCGGUACUACGUAGGGGGUGAGCGUUAUCCGGAAUCACUGGGCGUAAAGGGUGCGUAGGCGGCUAAGUAAGCCAGGGGUGAAGGACUACGGCUCAACCGUAGUAAGCCUUUGGAACUACUUAGCUUGAGUGCAGGAGAGGAGAGUGGAAUUCCUAGUGUAGCGGUUGAAUGCGUAGAUAUUAGGAGAAACACCAGUGGCGAAGGCGACUCUCUGGACUGUAAAUGACGCUGAGGCACGAAAGCGUGGGGAGCAAACAGGAUUAGAUACCCUUGUAGUC